AUGCUUCAUUAUACCGGACAUGCAUCAUACUUGAUUGUGCAUCAUGCCAUGAUUCAUGUGUUGGUUGUUUACUAUGUUGUUUGCUCCUUUCCGGUGUUGCUUCUUCGGGUUGGUUCUGAUAACGUCGCGUUUGUGAGGACCCGUUCGACUACGUCAGUUUGUCUUCUUCAUGGACUCAUUCUUCUUCCUUGCGGGAUUUUAGGCAAGAUGACCAUACCCUCGAAAUCACUUCUAUCUUUGCUUGCUAGUUGCUCGCUCUUUUGCUAUGCCUAUGCUGCGAUACUGACCACUUGCUUAUCAUGCCUCCCAUAUUGUUAA
Molecule: ribosomal RNA, 318 nt
Filed under: Triticum aestivum (bread wheat)
Lineage: Eukaryota; Viridiplantae; Streptophyta; Magnoliopsida; Poales; Poaceae
Description: partial small subunit ribosomal RNA
Source: RNAcentral